GCCCUGGGCGCAGUCCCCGUCAGAGCCAGCGGGAAGGUGGCGGAUGAUACGAGGAGAACCAGCCAGCUGCCCAAGGGUGCAGAGGGCAACCGUGUGGGCAAGGGCGACCUGCAGUCCACCCUGCUGGAGGGGCACGGCACGGCACCGCCUGACCUGGAUCUCUCGGCCAUCAACGGUGAGCGCCAGGCCUUCUUGGAUGCUGGGCUUGGGGCUGUGACCGCGUGCCAGCCAGGGAAGGGAACCCUCAGCCGGGACCGCAUGGCGUUGGGCUCGGGUCGGUCCAUCUACUCUUAUCGCUGGGCAGCAGCAGUGAGGGCAGCUCCCAGGCAGCCCCACGGGCACCGAGGGACAGCUGUGCUCCUGCAGGCUGCCUGGCAGGGUGGACAGAGUGAGCAUGUUGUGCUUCUGCAGUUCACAACACAGUGGGCAGUGAUCACCAGACUGUGAGUCCGUGACACUCAUGCCUCCCGCUUCUUUACCGUAGACAAGAGCAUGGUUAGGAAGACACCACAGUUAGAUAAGACAGCGUCAUGGAAAGCCAAGUCGACCUCCUUCUCGGCCCCUCAGAGAAAGAGCCCGGUAAGCGGGUGGCAGGGAGGCUCUAGCCUGGUCGCUGGAGAUUCCGUGUCCCAUCCCUGUCCUGUCCACUGGCAGAGACAAAGACACCAGGGGCGCCCAGGAAGGUGGAAGAGCAGCGCCCUCUAGCUGUGCGGGGCUUGGGUGCAGCGUGUCAGGUCGGGAUUCUCCCCACCGGGCAGCGUCAGAGCCAGACCGGGUGCCCUCCCUGCCCUCCGGGAGGCUGAGGCAGGAAGGUCAAAAGUUUGAGCCCAGCCCGGCAAUAGGUGACUCAGCCAGUUCCUGUCUCAAAAUAAGAAGGUUUUUGAAGGGCUGGGGCUGAAGCUCAGCUCAGCAGUCCUGCCUCGGCCUCUCUCUCAGGAUCUGGCGGAGGUGGUGGAGAUGGUGGCUUCCCAGACGUUACUGCUGACCUUGCUGACGGUGAAGAUGGAGAACGGGCUGGCGCGGCUGGAGGAGCGGGCGGAGCGGAGCCUCCUCCUCGUGUGCCGGGAGCGCGGGCGGCUGCAGCGGGAGGCCCACGAGCGGAGGCGCGAACUGCUGCUGCGGCAGAGACGCCGGGAGCUGGCUGACGUCCUGGACGCCCAGACCGAGGCGCUGCGCCCCUUCGAGGCGGUGGCUGGGCGCUUCCAGGAGCGGUACAGGACGCUGGCCUCGGCCCUGGGCUCCACCCGGCACGAGCUGCCCCUGCGCGCCGUCCACCUGGAGCACGGCGGCUGGCAGCUCCUCGACGCCCUGCAGGCCGAGCUGACGACCACCCACCGCCUGCUGGCCGAGCUGGGCAUCGGCGCCGAGGAGGACGGCCCGCUGCUGGCCCUGCUGGCUGAGUUGAGGGAGGCGACCACGCAGAAGGACUGCGAGCUCCGGAGGAGCUUCGAGCAGGUGCUGGAGCUGUCCGCCAAGGCCAGCAAGGAGGCGGCCCUGGCCAGCCAGGAGGCCUGGGAGGAUGCACAGGGCGCUGAGGCCGCCCACCGCUGGUACUUCAGCCCCAACGGAGGCACCGCAGGGACCCUCGGGGAAACCCAGCUCUCAGCCCCGGCCCGGAGAGGCGCUCCCUGCGCACCACUGGGGAAGGCUGUGCGGUGA
Fukomys damarensis (Damara mole-rat) is the source of this 1659-nucleotide long non-coding RNA. The record is from Ensembl. Lineage: Eukaryota; Metazoa; Chordata; Mammalia; Rodentia; Bathyergidae.